AGAGUUUGAUCCUGGCUCAGAUUGAACGCUGGCGGCAUGCCUUACACAUGCAAGUCGAACGGCAGCGCGGGAGCAAUCCUGGCGGCGAGUGGCGAACGGGUGAGUAACAUAUCGGAACGUGCCCUGGAGUGGGGGAUAACUAGUCGAAAGACUGGCUAAUACCGCAUACGAUCUAAGGAUGAAAGUGGGGGAUCGCAAGACCUCAUGCUCCUGGAGCGGCCGAUAUCUGAUUAGCUAGUUGGUGGGGUAAAGGCCCACCAAGGCGACGAUCAGUAGCUGGUCUGAGAGGACGACCAGCCACACUGGGACUGAGAUACGGCCCAGACUCCUACGGGAGGCAGCAGUGGGGAAUUUUGGACAAUGGGGGCAACCCUGAUCCAGCAAUGCCGCGUGUGUGAAGAAGGCCUUCGGGUUGUAAAGCACUUUUGUUCGGAAAGAAAUCGCCUGGGUUAAUACCCUGGGUGGAUGACGGUACCGGAAGAAUAAGCACCGGCUAACUACGUGCCAGCAGCCGCGGUAAUACGUAGGGUGCAAGCGUUAAUCGGAAUUACUGGGCGUAAAGCGUGCGCAGGCGGUUGUGCAAGACAGAGGUGAAAUCCCCGGGCUUAACCUGGGAACUGCCUUUGUGACUGCACGGCUAGAGUGUGUCAGAGGGGGGUAGAAUUCCACGUGUAGCAGUGAAAUGCGUAGAUAUGUGGAGGAAUACCGAUGGCGAAGGCAGCCCCCUGGGAUAACACUGACGCUCAUGCACGAAAGCGUGGGGAGCAAACAGGAUUAGAUACCCUGGUAGUCCACGCCCUAAACGAUGUCAACUAGUUGUUGGGGAUUAAUUUCCUUGGUAACGCAGCUAACGCGUGAAGUUGACCGCCCGGGGAGUACGGUCGCAAGAUUAAAACUCAAAGGAAUUGACGG
This 912-nucleotide ribosomal RNA is filed under the name uncultured Ralstonia sp. RNAcentral's name for it is "bacterial SSU rRNA". It matches the Rfam family "Bacterial small subunit ribosomal RNA", at positions 8 to 916 of the family's 1533-position model. The record is from RNAcentral. Lineage: Bacteria; Pseudomonadati; Pseudomonadota; Betaproteobacteria; Burkholderiales; Burkholderiaceae.